UUGUGAAUCUAGUAAUAGAAAAUUAAAUAUUCUUAUCUACCGAAAAAGUUUGCAAGAACUGCUAACUCAUGCUUCCACACUUAAAAAUGUGGCUUUUUCAACUUUUAAAGGAUAGCAGUUAUCCGUUGGUCUUAGGAACCAAAAAAUUGGUGCAACUCCAAAUAAAAGUA
RNAcentral lists this transfer RNA (170 nucleotides) under Sus scrofa (pig). RNAcentral's name for it is "tRNA-Ser". Lineage: Eukaryota; Metazoa; Chordata; Mammalia; Artiodactyla; Suidae. The record is from RNAcentral.